RNAcentral lists this ribosomal RNA (478 nucleotides) under uncultured bacterium. RNAcentral's name for it is "partial 16S ribosomal RNA". It matches the Rfam family "Bacterial small subunit ribosomal RNA", at positions 28 to 523 of the family's 1533-position model. The record is from RNAcentral.
GACGAACGCUGGCGGCGUGCUUAACACAUGCAAGUCGAACGGUAAGGCCCUUCGGGGUACACGAGUGGCGAACGGGUGAGUAACACGUGGGUGAUCUGCCCUGCACUUCGGGAUAAGCCUGGGAAACUGGGUCUAAUACCGGAUAGGACUCCUGGCUUCAUGGUUGGGGGUGGAAAGCUUUUGCGGUGUGGGAUGGGCCCGCGGCCUAUCAGCUUGUUGGUGGAGUAAUGGCCUACCAAGGCGACGACGGGUAGCCGGCCUGAGAGGGUGACCGGUCACAAUGGGACUGAGAUACGGCCCAGACUCCUACGGGAGGCAGCAGUGGGGAAUAUUGCACAAUGGGCGCAAGCCUGAUGCAGCGACGCCGCGUGAGGGAUGACGGCCUUCGGGUUGUAAACCUCUUUCAGCUAUGACGAAGCGCAAGUGACGGUAGUAGCAGAAGAAGGACCGGCCAACUACGUGCCAGCCGCCGCAGUAA